UGCCCCUACGGGACGCAGCAGUGGGGGAUAUUGCACAAUGGGGGAAACCCUGAUGCAGCGACGCCGCGUGUGGGAAGACGGUCCUCUGGAUUGUAAACCACUGUCCCCAGGGACGAAGAUGACGGUACCUGGGGAGGAAGCUCCGGCUAACUACGUGCCAGCAGCCGCGGUAAUACGUAGGGAGCAAGCGUCGUCCGGAAUUACUGGGUGUAAAGGGAGCGUAGACGGCAAUGCAAGUCCGGAGUGGAAUGCGGCAGCUCAACUGCCGAACUGCUCUGGAAACUGUAUGGCUUGAGUGCAGGAGG
This 305-nucleotide ribosomal RNA is filed under the name uncultured bacterium. Its description in RNAcentral is "bacterial SSU rRNA". It matches the Rfam family "Bacterial small subunit ribosomal RNA", at positions 334 to 655 of the family's 1533-position model. The record is from RNAcentral.